This 430-nucleotide ribosomal RNA is filed under the name bacterium. RNAcentral describes it as "partial 16S ribosomal RNA". It matches the Rfam family "Bacterial small subunit ribosomal RNA", at positions 355 to 776 of the family's 1533-position model. The record is from RNAcentral.
UGGGGAAUAUUGGACAAUGGGCGAAAGCCUGAUCCAGCCAUGCCGCGUGUGUGAAGAAGGCCUUUUUGUUGUAAAGCACUUUAAGCGAGGAGGAGGCUACUUAGAUUAAUACUCUAGGAUAGUGGACGUUACUCGCAGAAUAAGCACCGGCUAACUCUGUGCCAGCAGCCGCGGUAAUACAGAGGGUGCGAGCGUUAAUCGGAUUUACUGGGCGUAAAGCGUGCGUAGGCGGCUUUUUAAGUCGGAUGUGAAAUCCCUGAGCUUACCUUAGGAAUUGCAUUCGAUACUGAGAAGCUAGAGUAUGGGAGAGGAUGGUAGAAUUCCAGGUGUAGCGGUGAAGUGCGUAGAGAUCUGGAGGAAUACCGAUGGCGAAGGCAGCCAUCUGGCCUAAUACUGACGCUGAGGUACGAAAGCAUGGGGAGCAAACAGG